Molecule: long non-coding RNA, 932 nt
Organism: Camelus dromedarius (Arabian camel)
Lineage: Eukaryota; Metazoa; Chordata; Mammalia; Artiodactyla; Camelidae
Exons: 4
Source: RefSeq, a predicted model, not a curated record
UGGGCUUUCCAGAUGAUAAGGAGAGAGUAGGGGAUUUAGAGUCAGGAAUGCUGGUAUCUCUUUUUUGGGGAACGCUGAUAUCUUUUACCCCUUUUUACCUAUGACACUUCAGACAAUUCAUGCCAUCUCUCUCUCUGUUUUCUUAUUUGAGAAACAGGCAAUAAUCCUUACCUCAUGGGAAUAAUAUUGACACCACCUGGGCAGGGAACUCAUCCAAUCAAGCCACAAGUAACAGCUCACGCCUCAAGAUCCCCACCCCGACCUGCCUCUGGAGGUGUCUGAGAACGUACCCGUCACAUCACAGACCUUCCUUUGAUACUCACCCGGCCAGAAGUCCUGGACUUUCUUUGAUGUGACCAGUAUCUCCUGCUAAGCUAGGAGGGACAUUGUGUACCUGGGUUGCAGCUCUGGCCACCCUCAGCAGACCCAAGUCUAGAGUCGUUAUCUGAUGCACCCGCGUUCAUCGACAGCUCUCCAGGGGAGUCCGGGCCAGACUGAGAGUUCACUACCCUGGUCAGAGCCAUGCGAGCCCAGGCUCUGCUGCCCACCCUGCUUCUCUGUGUUCUGCUGCUGCAGGCCCAGGGAGGGCACCGUAACCUGAACAGGAGCCAUAGAGUGCAGGUAUCCUCAGAAAUCAAUGAAUGUAAGAAGAGAACCAAAAUAGAGAUGUGCAAGCGCCCCUGUACACAUCACCAGGAGUGCCAAGCAAACAACGUGUGCUGCACCACCUUCUGCGGGAACGUCUGCAUGAACAUCCUGUGAGUCAGGGAGCAGGCUGGGCUGUGCGUCCUGCUCCCCGAGCCCUCCAUCCAGAGACUGUGCCUGUGGCGGAAGCACAAGGACCUCACACCCGGGCACAAGGAUGUCAAUAGGAAUGCCACCCUCCCCACUGUCUGAACUGCUUGUUCCUGUUUAAUAAACCACAACAAAUG